Molecule: ribosomal RNA, 305 nt
Filed under: uncultured bacterium
Lineage: Bacteria
Description: bacterial SSU rRNA
Rfam family: Bacterial small subunit ribosomal RNA
Source: RNAcentral
UAAGUCCUACGGGGGGCAGCAGUGGGGAAUAUUGGGCAAUGGGCGCAAGCCUGUCCCAGCAACGCCGCGUGAAGGAAGAAGGCUUUCGGGUUGUAAACUUCUUUUCUCAGGGACGAAGAAAGUGACGGUACCUGAAGAAUAAGCCACGGCUAACUACGUGCCAGCAGCCGCGGUAAUACGUAGGUGGCAAGCGUUAUCCGGAUUUACUGGGUGUAAAGGGCGUGUAGGCGGGACUGCAAGUCAGAUGUGAAAAUCACGGGCUCAACCUGUGGCCUGCAUUUGAAACUGUAGUUCUUGAGUACUGG